AUUGAACGCUGGCGGCAGGCCUAACACAUGCAAGUCGAGCGGAUGAAGGGAGCUUGCUCCUGGAUUCAGCGGCGGACGGGUGAGUAAUGCCUAGGAAUCUGCCUGGUAGUGGGGGAUAACGUCCGGAAACGGGCGCUAAUACCGCAUACGGCCUGAGGGAGAAAGUGGGGGAUCUUCGGACCUCACGCUAUCAGAUGAGCCUAGGUCGGAUUAGCUAGUUGGUGGGGUAAAGGCCUACCAAGGAGACGAUCCGUAACUGGUCUGAGAGGAUGAUCAGUCACACUGGAACUGAGACACGGUCCAGACUCCUACGGGAGGCAGCAGUGGGGAAUAUUGGACAAUGGGCGAAAGCCUGAUCCAGCCAUGCCGCGUGUGUGAAGAAGGUCUUCGGAUUGUAAAGCACUUUAAGUUGGGAGGAAGGGCAGUAAGUUAAUACCUUGCUGUUUUGACGUUACCAACAGAAUAAGCACCGGCUAACUUCGUG
This 484-nucleotide ribosomal RNA is filed under the name uncultured bacterium. RNAcentral's name for it is "partial 16S ribosomal RNA". It matches the Rfam family "Bacterial small subunit ribosomal RNA", at positions 30 to 507 of the family's 1533-position model. The record is from RNAcentral.